RNAcentral lists this ribosomal RNA (492 nucleotides) under uncultured bacterium. RNAcentral's name for it is "bacterial SSU rRNA". It matches the Rfam family "Bacterial small subunit ribosomal RNA", at positions 28 to 507 of the family's 1533-position model. The record is from RNAcentral.
GAUGAACGCUAGCUACAGGCUUAACACAUGCAAGUCGAGGGAAACGACAGAGGAAGCUUGCUUCCUUUGGGCGUCGACCGGCGCACGGGUGAGUAACGCGUAUCCAACCUUCCCGCAAGUAAGGGAUAACCCGUAGAAAUGCGGCCUAAUACCUUAUGUUUUCCUUAGAGGGCAUCUGAUGAGGAACAAAGAUCCGUCGCUUGCGGAUGGGGAUGCGUCUGAUUAGUUAGUCGGCGGGGUAACGGCCCACCGAGACGACGAUCAGUAGGGGUUCUGAGAGGAAGGUCCCCCCACAUUGGAACUGAGACACGGUCCAAACUCCUACGGGAGGCAGCAGUGAGGAAUAUUGGUCAAUGGACGAAAGUCUGAACCAGCCAAGUAGCGUGCAGGAUGACGGCCCUAUGGGUUGUAAACUGCUUUUAUAAGGGAUAAAGUGAGUCUCGUGAGACUUUUUUGCAUGUACCUUAUGAAUAAGGACCGGCUAAUUCCGUG